UGUUGUGGUGGGAGGGAAUUUUGCCCGUUGUUAUUUUUCAUUGUUUAUCGAACGUCGAACUAUUUGGGUUCAGUGAAUUGUUUUCUUUAGAUUACAAAACCAAUGUGAAACAGUGCCAUUUGAAAGUUAUCGACAAGAAAACUCGUAAUCUUAUUGAUUUGUAAAAAAUAAUCAGCUGAUGUGGUUUGGCAGUUUUUCGUGUACAGGAUUGCCAAAACUAUGAUUAUAAUCAAUCGACGUUAUUAGAUGCGGCAAUUAAGAUGUUUCACACAUCGGAGCCUAGUUAUUUAAGCUAUUUGUUAUUGUUCAUAGCGACCUUUGUAGUAGUUAGUGCAGACAAUGCAAAUAUCACAAUACCGUUGAAUAAAACAAUAACUUUAGCUGAUAAGGAGCUGUAUGGAGACUUUGUUACAAUAAAAAGCAAUUCUGUGAUCCGGUUAAGUCUAACAGAUAUAAAUAAAUAUGUUCGUUUUAUCAUAUUUCAAGUACAUAGCCACCUGUACAAUGUUACUCUCUACAACAAUACAUUAACGCAAAACUCCUUCAUAUCGGGAACAAAUAUUGGCCUAUAUGGAAAAGUUAAACCUCCGGAUACUUAUUAUGUUAUAAACAAUAAUACAAUAGACAUAAAGUUAUACAUUUCCAUACAUGGAUAUAGAAGUUCUGAUCCUAUACCGGGUGGAUGCAAUCUGGAAUUCCCACUCUACAUUUCCCCGUUCAUGUACGUAAAGUACACCAAAGAUAUGAUCUCAGUCGAUGCUUCAUCGGCCCAACAUCCUAAGGAUCCAGAUUGUCUUGGAGUAAAUAAACUGAUUACUAUGAAGUUCUAUAGGUUGUAUCUGUAUGAGAGAAACUUUGGUGAAGACAGUUACUUUGAAGGUCUGAGAAAUAUGAUGACGUUGGCUAAGAUUCAAGAGAAUGGAGAUGAGGUACCACAAACCUUGAGGAUGAAGUUUCUCCGACGUUUACUGGGUGCAUAUCCCGGUACAGGGUCCAUAUACGUAGCAGUCGCUUAUCAUAUAUUGAACAAUAGUGUUUAUUCCAUUUAUGUGCCUACGCACACUUACGCCUGUUCGCCGUUGGAAGGAUGCGAAAUUCUUGAUGACAUAACAUCCCAAUUCUUCUGUGCUGCGCUCUUCUUCAUCGGUCUCUUCAUUUGUUACUUCGGCCAUAGAUUCUUCACGACAGAGAUGUUUUUAGUCGGCAUGUUUUCUGGAAUCUUAAUAACAUACACGAUAAUACCCAUGUGGACUGAUUUGGAUCGACCUGCACUGCUAUUCGCCUCAGGCAUGUCAGGAAUAUUCAUGGGGGCUAUAUGGUUGUUAUUCUGGUGGUUCUACGGGAUCCCUGUGUUGUCUGUGUUCUUGUCUACCAUGUAUCUGGGGUAUGUUUUGGCUGCCAUCGUGUAUUAUAGGGCUCCAGCCGGGCCGACAAUAUUCGAAAACGACGGCACUUUCUGGACUAUCUUCGUAGUCCUGAUGCUUCUAACAGCUGUCUCGCUCUCUCCCGUGACGUACCUGUCUAACAUACUAUGCUGCGCGUUCCUCGGCGCAUACGCCACAGUCUUCGCCUUAGACCACUAUAUCGGCUCGAAUUUGAAGUACAUUGUGAUCAAUACCAUGAGGCGUGCCGUGGUAGAGAGCUUCAAUAAUGCUGUAUUGGCACCACCGUAUCAGUGGAGAGAUGCAAUAGCAACUCUGCUCUGGGUACUCCUGGCGACCAGCGGUUUCCUCUUCCAGCACUACCACAACCGCGGAAAACCGCCAUUCCCGCCGCCACCUCGCAGCAUCAGCACUAGAAUGCCUGAACCUACAAGUUACGGGACUAUUGGGAACAGGGGACGACGUCGCAACAGGACUAUAUCACAACAAUCGUACUUGCCUAUGCGGAUGGAUCGCACCAGUUACGAGGACCGUCUUAGAUUUAGACGAGCCUCUAGAAAUUGAUACGAGAAUUCGUAUAAAGCGAAUACCGAAUUCGUAUAAAACGAAUAUCGAAUUCGUAUAAAUAAACAGGAACUUGAGUGUGGAGACAGGCGGAGACCCGACAAUUGUGGAUUACAACACCAAUGAACGCACUCCUUUAUUGUAAUAACCUACAUUGAUAAGCUAACAUACAAACAAUAUUAUCGGUAAAUUAUAUUUACCUAUUUAUUUUAGUCGUAAUAGUUUUUAACUAGGUAUUUUUAUUGUAUUUUUUUUACGUACAUGCGUGCCUAUAAAGAUUUUAAUUGCAUGCUACAACAUUUGCGCGUAUCGUUUGCUUAAAAUUAUGAACAUUUUCAAUCGAUCCGUUGAAACGUUUUUGAAACUAAAAUAGAAACUUUUCUAUUCUCGUCAAAUACGUUCGAGAUUUAAUUAUUAGAUAGGUGUACUUACUUCCUGCGAUCUCCAAAGUGUAUUACGAUCCCUUUAGUGUCAUCUCGUUUUUUUCACCACAUAUUUCUUUUACAAAAAAUACAGUACUUACCUAUACUUUUUAUGCAAUGGCAACACCUUAUUCUUCUUCGUCUGCUUGUCUACUCUUUUCUGUCUGUGGCUAAUACGCUAAAAAUAAAAAAUAAAACACUUUUCUUUUUAACCUUUCCAUUAUCUACUGUUCUUAAAAUAAUUUAAACUUUUCAAAUCAUAAUAGAUAACGAUAUAACGAAAUAUAACGAUAUUACAACAAAAAAAAACUAAUAUUUUGGUCUACUACUUCGUCUUCCUAGUGUCAUAAUAAAUAUUUAGUACUAUAUUUAACGAGAUAAUUUUAAUUAAUAUUUUAUAAGCUGUCUCGAUAUCACAAUUUGUCUAGAAAACCAAAUAUAAAUAAUAUCGCAAGACUGCUUCAUGUGAUGUUUUUGUAAGCAUAGCAUUCCCAUUUAAGGAUCAAUAAAGUUUUAUCUUUUGUAUAAA
Molecule: unclassified non-coding RNA, 2897 nt
Filed under: Pectinophora gossypiella (pink bollworm)
Lineage: Eukaryota; Metazoa; Arthropoda; Insecta; Lepidoptera; Gelechiidae
Description: transmembrane 7 superfamily member 3-like
Source: RNAcentral